ACCUGGCAGAAACAUAACAGAAGAGGUACAGGGCAGUGCAGGAUGUCCUAUGGGAUGGGAGAGCCAGCUAGAGUUGGAUGACAAAAAGUAGGAAGAGGAAAAAUACUUGUACAAGCCUGGCUGAAUGGAGUAUCAAAUGUACCACUAUACCUUUGAGAUGAACACACCAGGCUCUUGGAUCCCAAAUGGGUGGCUGGAAUGGUCAGAGCCUCCAACAAUACUCAGCCCCAGAGGCCCACCAGCCUUCACCAGGGAAACUUCCUGGAGAUAUUGAAGAGGCAAGGAAGAAAUUAUGAUGGGAAUGGUCAGGACUUCCAGGGGAAGAUUAAGGAAAUGGCUGGAUUCUGAGGGAUAAGGACAACCUCCAAGAAGGGUCAAGCCAAAACUCAAGCAUGCUGGCCCCAAGGGAGAGGCCUCUGCUCAUGUGAAGCAUGGGGGCCAUUGCUACAGCCUGUUGGGGCUAGCUCCCCCUCUCCAUCCCCUGACAGCCCCUGAAGCAAGGCCACCACAGCCUCAGGCCUGGGCAGCUUGGUAAUUUUAAAGUGCUUCUUGUAAUGAGGGGUAUCUUUCCGGAUCAGCCUUUGCCUCUCCCCAGGUGGGGGUCGCAGUUCCUCAGCUUCAUCUUCAUCUUCACUUCGUACCAACGUGUCCUCUGCAAAGUGCACAGUGGGCUGUAAAAUGACCAAAAAUGUGAAACCUAACUCUGGGACCACAACAACUAUCCUCUUUUGCCUCUUGAUCAUGCGAGUCUCCCCUGAUAUUGCUCCCCUUGAAGUCAUGGGGAUUAGUUGAGUUGAGAAGUAAUCCUCAAAUGUUCCUUUCCCUUCCUUAACCUCUAAACACUACAAUCUCUUCCACCACAAAAAUUUCAGGUUUAUACUUUCCACAAUAAACCAGAAUUUAUUACUUA
This is a non-coding RNA of Monodelphis domestica (gray short-tailed opossum), 910 nucleotides long. Lineage: Eukaryota; Metazoa; Chordata; Mammalia; Didelphimorphia; Didelphidae. The record is from RefSeq and is a predicted model, not a curated record.